GUUCUCGUUUCAGCAGCACAUACACUAAAAUUGGAAUGAUACAGAGAUUAGCAUGGCCCCUGCACAAGGAUGACAUGCAAAUUCGGGAAGCGUUCCACAUUUAA
Molecule: small nuclear RNA, 104 nt
Organism: Myotis daubentonii (Daubenton's bat)
Lineage: Eukaryota; Metazoa; Chordata; Mammalia; Chiroptera; Vespertilionidae
Source: RefSeq, a predicted model, not a curated record